UCAACUUCAAUGAGUUUGGCUCAGGGGACCAAGGUGUUGACUAGAGUGUCUGAAGAUAGAAUUUCAUGCUCUUCUUCUUCAUCAGUAUUUAGUGACACAGUCAGUCUCUUUACCAAAGUUAUGGUAAGCCAGGUCAUGUACUCUGCUGAUUCUGAUGCAGAAAGUAGAGGAUCCUCUCCAACUAAAUCUCUCCAAACAUCUGAAACCUCUCUAUCUGAUGUAGGCAAUCUAUUGAGUGGCAAGUCCUCCCCUCGGCUGUCUCCUUCUGGCGUCAUUAUGGCAACAAGCGAGACCUCCAAUGCAGCACAAAUGUUUAAGGCCAACAUUGAUGGAGAGGAAGUGGAUACCACCAGUCAUUCUGGUGUAGCUCAAAACAUUGUCAGGGACGAUAUGUCAACCAGCCCAGACAUGGUCAAAGAUGUCACACAUCCAACCCCAUCCUCUGAUAACUUGGGCAGUGAUGACGACGUCACCGGCCUCAUCAGCAUGUUAGUAAUGAGAAUUCUAACAAAAAUCCAAAUCCCAACAGAAGAUUACCCAGUUGAUGUCACACGCAGUUAUGGAGGUCUUCUGUGCAUGGUCAGGCUGCUCUGAGACACAAGCCUAUCCAGAGAACUUGAGGAUUCAUAAAGUCUACAGAGCCAUCUAUAAAAAUCUGUUGGGGAGUUUGGCUCUGCGAAAAUCCUCCAACAGGCCGUGUCGACUCAGGACUCUUCAUUUCAUAAGAUUCUUGUCAAGUCUUUGAGUGAAGCGCUUCUCCACAGGGCAGCCUCAAGAACAUCAGUCAAAACCACCGGGCCUAAGGCUCUUCCACUGGCUGAGGAUGUGAGGACUAGCAGGGGAAAUGAUCUUUUCUACAAAGGCUGGUCAGGCUGACAAGCAACUUAAAGCUAUUCAAGAAGGGGAACAAGAAGGAUUCCCACCGCUCUGAAUCAGAACAAGUACAGAGCACUGCUGAAGAUGGCAUGUUGCCCAGCAUAGUGCCAAAGGAUCUCCCCGCCAGCUCCCAACAGGAGACGCCUCACAAACGUCCACUUCUCGUCAGGAUGUUUUCUGCCAUCUCCAAAGGCCUGUUCAAGCCCUUCAAACAGUCCUUAAAGACCAAGUAACUUAAGACAAUUUAUUAAACAUCAUUCAUUGCAUUAAAUUGGCCUUUGUCUUCUUAUGUGCUCCCGUUAACAGACCAGAUUACAAUACUGGUCUUUUAAAUGUUAGCAGUGAUAGCAACAUUAACUAUAGUGGUGUGUAUAGCCCUUCCACAUAGUCUGACUCUUCUGACACUGUGUGACAUGCCCUCUGAUCCAGUGAUCUAGGAUAUUCUGAGUGGCUUUAGGCCUGAAUCUCUGCCCUCCUUCCCAAAUAAAUGUUUUCUCUUCUGAUAUAUCUGCCACUGUCCGCAGCCAGCAGGGGGAAACAGACAGCGCUGUUGAGAGCUUUCUUUUCUCCCUCAUGACUAAAACACUGAGAAAGGCUUUUAUCUAUUGCAGCAUAUUCCAUCUUUUGAUUUAACCUAUUAUACGGUAGUAGUACCCAUUAUUUCCCAACGGUUAUAUCACAGGAAAUGUGUUAUAAAAAGUAA
Long non-coding RNA from Oncorhynchus tshawytscha (Chinook salmon), 1579 nucleotides. RefSeq lists it as uncharacterized. The transcript is spliced from 3 exons. Lineage: Eukaryota; Metazoa; Chordata; Actinopteri; Salmoniformes; Salmonidae. The record is from RefSeq and is a predicted model, not a curated record.